AGUAGUUUGAUCCUGGCUCAGGAUGAACGCUGGCGGCGUGCUUAACACAUGCAAGUCGAACGGGGUUUACGAGAAGCUUGCUUUUUGUAAACCUAGUGGCGGACGGGUGAGUAACGCGUGAGUAACCUGCCUUAGACUGGGGGAUAACACUUAGAAAUAGGUGCUAAUACCGCAUAAGCGCACAGUAUCGCAUGAUACAGUGUGAAAAACUCCGGUGGUCUAAGAUGGACUCGCGUCUGAUUAGCUAGUUGGUGAGGUAACGGCCCACCAAGGCGACGAUCAGUAGCCGGCCUGAGAGGGUGAACGGCCACAUUGGGACUGAGACACGGCCCAAACUCC
Molecule: ribosomal RNA, 339 nt
Filed under: uncultured Coriobacteriales bacterium
Lineage: Bacteria; Bacillati; Actinomycetota; Coriobacteriia; Coriobacteriales
Description: bacterial SSU rRNA
Rfam family: Bacterial small subunit ribosomal RNA
Source: RNAcentral